Molecule: long non-coding RNA, 935 nt
Filed under: Panax ginseng (ginseng)
Lineage: Eukaryota; Viridiplantae; Streptophyta; Magnoliopsida; Apiales; Araliaceae
Description: long non-coding RNA (PGIN_LNC012826)
Source: RNAcentral
UUCUGUUCUAAUUUAAAUUUUCUAUUUUUUUCUUUCCUGUUCCAAACUUAGAAACAGAAUGUUACUCACUUAUCUGAUCUUUUCUUGCAAUUUAAUUGAACCAUUUCAAAGAACUUUUUUUUCUUUUUUUUCUUUAUUCUAUUAUCACCGUGAUUAAUCAUUGCCUGCACUUCCAAAAUCCAUAAAUUAAUUAGUACCAAAGUUUCUGGAAACUUUAUAAAGAAAUUAACAUAACUCAUUGUGUGAAUAUUAUUUCAUAAAUUAAUUACUACUCCAAAUUUUUCGGCGAUGGUGACUGAAAUUCAGGCGAACUACACCUAUAUGGGACAGAGCUUUUAGUGACUGCAACAAUGAUAGAUCCGGUGAGUUUUUAGCGGCAUCGCCUCGGAUCCGACGGCUAAUCAUUGUAUGCGCUUUCAAAUCUCAGAUCCGGUGGCAAAUCCUUGCUUGUAUCGUCUCAGAUCUUUGGUUCGUUAUCAUGUACCCCGUUCGUCCUAUCGGUUCCUCUCAGUUCCCCAUCGGCUGAAGAGAGAGGUGAAGGUGAAGGAAGUGGAGGCGGAGAAUUUGAGGAAGAAGCUAAGGGAUACAAGAAGAAUUUUGUAAUAUUGAAAAUCGUUUUUGUUCAAAAAAUAGUUAAUGUAGUUCAGACGUAGUUCUGAAUAGUACUACUUCCGUCCCAUAAUAAGUGAUUUUUUAGCUUAAAUCACAUAUACCAAUACACAAGUUAUAAUGAUAAAAAUACUUUUAAUAUACUUUUUUUGGAGUUGAAAAGUUAAUGAGUGUCAUUUAAUUGUAGUGAGUAAUGGAGGAAACGAAGAGUCAAAAAUAAUGGAGAGCAUAUAUGGGAAAAUAUUAUAAAAUUUAUAUUGGAGUUCUAACACAUCACUUAUUUUGAAAAAAAAAUAUUAAGCCUAAAAAAUCACUUAUUGUGGGAC